Molecule: long non-coding RNA, 605 nt
Organism: Carya illinoinensis
Lineage: Eukaryota; Viridiplantae; Streptophyta; Magnoliopsida; Fagales; Juglandaceae
Exons: 3
Source: RefSeq, a predicted model, not a curated record
CAGCCAACCAGCCUGCAGCCCUGCCGCAGCCUUGUGCUUGAUGUGGCAGUUUAUUUUAAAAUAAAAAAACAUAAGUAGGAAAUGAAAUGCGUGAAAUAUGAAAAAUUAGAGAGUAAAAAUGAAAUGUGAAAUAUGAAGAGAGAGAGUUUGCAUCUUCUUCGUUGUGCAUCUUCUUCGUUUUGGGUCUAACUUCUCAUGAGCUUCUCCAAAGCUAUCUCUAAGGGUCUGUGGGAAGAAUAUUUUUUGCCAAAAUGUCAAUGAAAGUUGAGCUUGGGAGCAUCUCUUCAUGUUUGCGAAACCAGAGAGUGGGAGUUGAUCUCUAAGUCACAAUUGAAGUCUUGGGUAUCUCUAAGGUUUGCAUUCGCAUUGGAUGGUGAUGAUGUGAUUCAGUUUUUCAAAACCUAGGAACGUUGCUCAAGCCGAUGCUUCUAUUAAAUUUGGUAUGAUUUUUGUUAUUUUGACGGGAAAGAGAUCAAUUAACAUUGCUCCCAUAUUCAUAUCAAUUGAACACAAAGCUUAUUGGGCAAUCAAGCAAUUUAAUUUUGAUGUGGAUAAAGCUUGCUCUCUUUGUAAGUUUCAGCUUAAUGAGUUAGAGGAAAUCAGGA